Molecule: ribosomal RNA, 253 nt
Filed under: uncultured bacterium
Lineage: Bacteria
Description: partial 16S ribosomal RNA
Rfam family: Bacterial small subunit ribosomal RNA
Source: RNAcentral
UACGGAGGAGGCAAGCGUUAUCCGGAAUUAUUGGGCGUAAAGCGUCCGCAGGUGGCUAUUCAAGUCUGCGGUCAAGGACUGGGGCUUAACCCUGGAAAGGCCGUGGAAACUGAAGAGCUAGAGUGCAGUAGGGGUAGAGGGAAUUCCCGGUGUAGCGGUGAAAUGCGUAGAGCUCGGGAAGAACAUCGGUGGCGAAAGCGCUCUGCUGGACUGCAACUGACACUCAGGGACGAAAGCUAGGGGAGCGAAUGGG